AGUCACUGACAUUAGAUACCCCCGUAGUCCAGGGUGUAAACGCUGCAGACUUGGUGUUGGAGGCCCUUUGGGGGCAUUCAGUGCCGGAGAGGAGUUGUUAAGUCUGCUACUUGGGGAGUACGUCCGCAAGGAUGAAACUUAAAGGAAUUGGCGGGGGAGCACCGCAACGGGAGGAGCGUGCGGUUUAAUUGGAUUCAACACCGUAAACUCACCAGGGAAGACUGUUACAUGAAGGCCGAGAUGAAGACUCUGCUAGAUUUUCAG
This 264-nucleotide ribosomal RNA is filed under the name uncultured archaeon. RNAcentral's name for it is "partial 16S ribosomal RNA". It matches the Rfam family "Archaeal small subunit ribosomal RNA", at positions 718 to 982 of the family's 1478-position model. The record is from RNAcentral.